Molecule: long non-coding RNA, 499 nt
Filed under: Populus trichocarpa (black cottonwood)
Lineage: Eukaryota; Viridiplantae; Streptophyta; Magnoliopsida; Malpighiales; Salicaceae
Description: long non-coding RNA (PTRI_LNC004561)
Source: RNAcentral
ACCUAAGUGGUUCAGAUCUUGCAGGCCAAGUUCCGUCGGAAAUCUCUCACCUCUCCAAAAUGGUUUCUCUUGAUCUCUCUUGGAACGACUAUGUGAGUGUAGAACCAAUUUCUUUUGACAAGCUUUCUUUUGACAAGCUUGUUCGAAACCUAACCAAGCUUAGAGAACUCGAUUUGAGUGGGGUAAACAUGUCACUAGUUGUUCCUGAUUCCUUGAUGAAUCUGUCUAUUUCUCUGUCAUCGCUCAAACUCAAUUACUGUAGAUUGCAAGGAAAACUCCCAUCCUCAAUGGGGAAAUUUAAGCACCUACAGUACUUGCAUCUUGGAUGGAACAAUCUUACUGGUCCAAUUCCAUAUGAUUUUGAUGAGUUGGUUUCAUUUGAUCUCUCUUGGAACAACUAUUUGAAUCUAGAACCAAUUUCAUUUGACAAGCUUGUUCGAAACCUAACCAAGCUUAGAGAACUCGAUUUGAGUGGGGUAAACAUGUCACUAGUUGUUCC